CUAGUAAUACGCGGAUCAGCAUGCCGCGGUGAAUACGUUCCCGGGCCUUGUACACACCGCCCGUCACACCAUGAGAGUCGAUAACACCCGAAGCCUGUAGUCUAACCGCAAGGAGGACGCAGUCGAAGGUGGGAUUGAUAAUUAGGGUGAAGUCGUAACAAGGUAUC
This 167-nucleotide ribosomal RNA is filed under the name uncultured bacterium. RNAcentral's name for it is "partial 16S ribosomal RNA". It matches the Rfam family "Bacterial small subunit ribosomal RNA", at positions 1335 to 1500 of the family's 1533-position model. The record is from RNAcentral.